RNAcentral lists this unclassified non-coding RNA (333 nucleotides) under soil metagenome. RNAcentral describes it as "partial contains 5.8S ribosomal RNA, internal transcribed spacer 2, and large subunit ribosomal RNA". The stretch from base 1 to 121 matches the Rfam family "5.8S ribosomal RNA", at positions 35 to 154 of the family's 154-position model. The record is from RNAcentral.
GAUGAAGAAACGCAGCAAAAUGCGAUAAGUAAUGUGAAUUGCAGAAUUCAGUGAAUCAUCGAAUCUUUGAACGCACAUUGCGCCCGCCAGUAUUCUGGCGGGCAUGCCUGUUCGAGCGUCAUUUCAACCCUCAAGCACAGCUUGGUGUUGGGACUCGCGUUAAUUCGCGUUCCCCAAAUUGAUUGGCGGUCACGUCGAGCUUCCAUAGCGUAGUAGUAAAACCCUCGUUACUGGUAAUCGUCGCGGCCACGCCGUUAAACCCCAACUUCUGAAUGUUGACCUCGGAUCAGGUAGGAAUACCCGCUGAACUUAAGCAUAUCAAUAAGCGGAGGA